GGAGUUAUAUUGCACUAAGAAUCGGUUAAGACCAAUAGCCUAAAAGUUUCUACUGGUCUUCAAAACCAGCUUGUCUACGCCAGUGGAUAGGUGGGUUCGACUCCCACCCUCUCCC
Molecule: transfer RNA, 115 nt
Filed under: Candidatus Poribacteria bacterium
Lineage: Bacteria; Candidatus Poribacteria
Description: tRNA-OTHER
Source: RNAcentral